RNAcentral lists this signal recognition particle RNA (256 nucleotides) under Candidatus Pacearchaeota archaeon. Its description in RNAcentral is "signal recognition particle sRNA large type". The stretch from base 107 to 205 matches the Rfam family "Bacterial small signal recognition particle RNA". Lineage: Archaea; Nanobdellati. The record is from RNAcentral.
GCAGACAAGCCAGCGAGCUAGCCCCUCGCAAUUCACAAACGGGCUUUAUGGUGGGCUUAAAGGAGUGCGUGAGGCAGAAGUUUGUUAGUCUCUAGCUGGACGUUGAAGUUUUGUCCUGCUCGAUCGCACUCUUAUGAAAUGGGUCAGGCCUUGAUCGGAGCAGCCCUAAGUAAGAAUUGCGGUGCUUGUAGGGUUGCAGAACUGAGAAAAGCAAGAGGGUGCUGGCAUUCUGAAACCGAGCAAUCUCCCCGUCUGC